Molecule: long non-coding RNA, 843 nt
Organism: Pteronotus mesoamericanus
Lineage: Eukaryota; Metazoa; Chordata; Mammalia; Chiroptera; Mormoopidae
Exons: 4
Source: RefSeq, a predicted model, not a curated record
UUGGGAACCUAGUAUCCACUACAACAUUUAAAAUGGCAGCUCAUGUCUGUGAGUGUUUAGGAGCUGGCUAAAGCUAGCAUUCUCUUAGUCUUUGAUUAAGGGCACCACUUUCAGAUAAAAACAUAGACCUGAAUGGCAUCAUCCAGUCUCCAAGGAAACCAUUGUGUCUGCAACCAGCUAAUGAGCUGCAACAGAGCCUGGCCUUCAUUUUCAGCACAUUAAGUUCAUCCCUCAUAGGAAUUGUGGUCUGGUUGUGGCACCGCCCCUAGAACCUUCCUCCUGGUCACGAGAUGACCGUCAGCAGCAGACAGCAGGGCUACCUGUUUUCCUGUUCAUGUCCUACGGAGCCAUGGAAGCCACUAAGGAACCUCCUUUCCCAGAAAUCCUCAGCAAAUAUAUCCUUAAAUUGUAUCUACACAGUUCUGAAAUACACAUCAUGUGCAGGCAACAUGUCACUUUCCUCCUCCUUCCUCACUUAUCACCUCUACCAUCUCUGGUUAAAGUAGAUAAAAGAGAAUGAGGACAAUGUAACAUAUCAAAAGGGGCCUGGAUGCGACUGCAAUGAAGAAUGUACUCUCGGUGACACAGGCUCCAGCUGCUUGCAAUUAAUCACUCUCACUUAAUUAAUUAAUCAAUUGAAGCUGAUUGAGGCUGCAAAAAGAGUUUAGUGAAGCUGUGUUCAAGCUCCAGCUUUGCUGUUUACUAAUGAGAUGGGUAGUCCCGGUCAAUUUGUUUCACCUCUCAGAAAUCCAGUCUUCUUGUGAGAAUCAAGUGAAAUCCUUGUCAAAGAGCAUUGGUAAUGUCUAUGUUUUCCAAAUGCCAGGCAUUAUUAUUACUGCUCCU